RNAcentral lists this transfer RNA (20 nucleotides) under Eretmochelys imbricata (hawksbill sea turtle). RNAcentral describes it as "partial tRNA-Pro". The record is from RNAcentral. Lineage: Eukaryota; Metazoa; Chordata; Testudines; Cheloniidae.
AUAAUCAAAAGAGAAGGACU